This is a ribosomal RNA of Mustela putorius furo (domestic ferret), 127 nucleotides long. Lineage: Eukaryota; Metazoa; Chordata; Mammalia; Carnivora; Mustelidae. The record is from Ensembl.
GUCUACGGCCAUACCACCCUGAACGUGCCCGAUCUCGUCUGAUCUCGGAAGCUAAGCAGGGUCGGGCCUGGUUAGUACUUGGAUGGGAAGAAAGCCAAGGAGGGGCGCCUGGGUGGCUCAGUGGGUU